Molecule: long non-coding RNA, 862 nt
Filed under: Cervus hanglu yarkandensis (Yarkand deer)
Lineage: Eukaryota; Metazoa; Chordata; Mammalia; Artiodactyla; Cervidae
Description: lncRNA (ENSCHYG00000007846.1)
Source: RNAcentral
CUCCUCGUCCUUUUUUCCCAUCAUCUGGCAAGGUCUUCUCAAGCCAGAGGCACAUUCCCAGGUCCACUGAGGCCCCUGCCCCACCAUGUCCCGCCACUUACCAGCUCACUUGAAAAGGGCACAGAGCUGCGACCACGCUGCUCCAACUCCUCCUGAAGCUGGGGCAAGACUGGCGGUCGGGGGCCCCAAGGGGAAAGGAAGUGGCCCUGGCUCCACCCACCCCCCACCAGCAUCCUGCCCCACCCGCCCCACUCCUACAUUGCCGUGUGAUGAGAGAGGCAUCACUCACUUUUUCAGGGUCCCAGGUGAUGACAGGGGCUCUGGGGUCUCAGCUGCAGCAGGUGGGGAUGGUGGGCGGUUUCUGGAAUGGGGAUUCCUGGAUCUUCGCUGGAAAAUGGGAUGGCAAGCUGGUGACUCUGGAACAGCACCUGGCCUGAUAUUUGAGAACUCCACUUCAAAACGAGAAAGCAGAAACGCCUAUCUUGCAAAUCUCUUCGCAGGUGCCCAUAAAAGAAAAGAAAAAAAAAAAGGUUUCUAGUUAGCGGUCAUUAACAAAAAAGGUGAAUGGCGUCAUUGUUUCCCCUAAGUCAGGAACAAAGAGGACUCAGAGCUUCUGAGUUUUUAAGAUGUAUCCAGAUACCAUACUGAAAAUGUAAUUCCAUCAUUCUUCUAUUCUUUGUCGUUUAGUCACUGAGUUGUGUCUCUGCCACCCCAUGGACUGUAGUCCACCAGGUUCCUCUGUCCAUGGGAUUUCGCAGGUAAGAAUACUGGAGUGGGUUGUCAUUUUCUUCUCCAGGAUAUCUUCCCGAAACAGGGAUCGAACCUGCAUCUCCUGCAUUGCAGGCAAAUUCUUUACCUCUGA